This 253-nucleotide ribosomal RNA is filed under the name uncultured bacterium. RNAcentral describes it as "partial 16S ribosomal RNA". It matches the Rfam family "Bacterial small subunit ribosomal RNA", at positions 524 to 776 of the family's 1533-position model. The record is from RNAcentral.
UACGUAGGGACCAAGCGUUGUUCGGAUUUACUGGGCGUAAAGGGCGCGUAGGCGGCUUUGUAAGUCACUUGUGAAAUCUCUGAGCUUAACUCAGAACGGCCAAGUGAUACUGCAAUGCUAGAGUAUUGGAGGGGCAAUCGGAAUUCUUGGUGUAGCGGUGAAAUGCGUAGAUAUCAAGAGGAACACCUGAGGUGAAGACGGGUUGCUGGACACAUAUUGACGCUGAGGUGCGAAAGCGUGGGGAGCAAACAGG